GACGAACGCUGGCGGCGUGCUUAACACAUGCAAGUCGAACGGACAGGCCCUGCUUUUGUGUCUUGCUCGUUUGGCGAACGGGUGAGUAACACGUGAGUAACCUGCCCUUGACUUUGGGAUAACUUCAGGAAACUGGGGCUAUUACCGCAUAGGAUCUCCUGCUCCAUGUUGUGGGUUGGAAAGUUUCGGCGGUUGUGGAUGUACUCGCUGCUUAUCAGCUUGUUUGUGUGGUAGUUGCUUACAAAGGCUUUGACGGGUAGCCUGCCUGAGAGGGUGACCAGCGACCUGGGGACUGAGAUACGGAGCAGAAGGGUACGGGAGGCAGCAGUGGGGAACAUGGCACAAUGGGGGGAAGCGUGAGGUAGAAACGCCGCGUGCGGGAUGACGGCCUUCGGGUUGUAAACCGCUGUGGCCUGUGACGAAGCGAGAGUGACGGUAAUGGGUAAAGAAGCACCGGCUAACUACGUG
RNAcentral lists this ribosomal RNA (468 nucleotides) under uncultured bacterium. Its description in RNAcentral is "partial 16S ribosomal RNA". It matches the Rfam family "Bacterial small subunit ribosomal RNA", at positions 28 to 507 of the family's 1533-position model. The record is from RNAcentral.